CGCCCCCCCCCCCCCGUUUGUGACGCCUCCCGGGGGGGGGGGGGGGCGAGAAUAAAGUUGUGUUUCUGCCACCCCCCGUGUCCCCAGAUUGUCCCCUCUGUGCCACCCCCGUGUCCUCCAACUGUCGCCCGUGCCAGCCCCGUGUCCCCAAGCUGUCCCCGUGUCCCCCUGUGCCACCCCCGCGGUCCCAAACUGUCCCCAAGUGCCACCAAUUGUGCCCCAAAACUGUCGCCAGUGCCACCCCCGUGUCCCCAAGCUGUCCCUGUGCCAUCCCGGUGUCGCCAGGUUGUGCCCUGUGUCCCUGGACUGUCUCCCGUGUCACGAAACUGUCCCCAAGUGCCACCCCCCGUGUCCCCAAGCUGUCCCCGUGUCCCCUCUGUGCCACCGCGGCGUGUCCCCGCUCUGUCCCCAAGUGCCACCCAGUGUGUGCCCAGUCCAUCCCCGCUCUGUCCCCGCUCUGUCCCCAAGUGCCACCCGGCGUGUCCCCGUUCUGUCCCCAAGUGCCACCCAGUGUGUGCCCAGUCCAUCCCCCCUCUGUCCCCAAGUGCCACCCAGCGUGUGCCCAGUCCAUCCCCGUUCUGUCCCCAUUCUGUCCCCAAGUGCCACCCAGCGUGUCCCCGUUCUGUCCCCAAGUGCCACCCAGUGUGUGCCCAGUCCAUCCCCGCUCUGUCCCCGUUCUGUCCCCAAGUGCCACCCAGCGUGUCCCCGUUCUGUCCCCAAGUGCCACCCGGCGUGUGCCCAGUCCAUCCCCGCUCUGUCCCCGUUCUGUCCCCAAGUGCCACCCACCACUCUGGCCCCAUUCUGUCCCCAAGUGCCACCCGGCGUGUCCUCGUUCUGUCCCCAAGUGCCACCCAGUGUGUGCCCAGUCCAUCCCCGUUCUGUCCCCAAGUGCCACCCAGUGUGUGCCCAGUCCAUCCCCGUUCUGUCCCCGUUCUGUCCCCAAGUGCCACCCGGCGUGUCCCCGCUCUGUCCCCAAGUGCCACCCAGCGUGUGCCCAGUCCAUCCCCCCUCUGUCCCCGCUCUGUCCCCAAGUGCCACCCAGCGUGUCCCCGUUCUGUCCCCAAGUGCCACCCAGCGUGUGCCCAGUCCAUCCCCCCUCUGUCCCCAAGUGCCACCCAGUGUGUGCCCAGUCCAUCCCCGUUCUGUCCCCGUUCUGUCCCCAAGUGCCACCCAGUGUGUGCCAUCCCCGCUCUGUCCCCGUUCUGUCCCCAAGUGCCACCCGGCGUGUCCCCAUUCUGUCCCCAAGUGCCACCCAGCGUGUGCCCAGUCCAUCCCCGCUCUGUCCCCAUUCUGUCCCCAAGUGCCACCCACCACUCUGUCCCCGUUCUGUCCCCAAGUGCCACCCAGCGUGUGCCCAGUCCAUCCCCGUUCUGUCCCCGUUCUUGUCCUCAAGUGCCACCCAGUGUGUGCCCAGUCCAUCCCCGUUCUGUCCCCAAGUGCCACCCAGUGUGUGCCCAGUCCAUCCCCGCUCUGUCCCCAAGUGCCACCCAGCGUGUGCCCAGUCCAUCCCCGUUCUGUCCCCAAGUGCCACCCACCACUCUGUCCCCGUUCUGUCCCCAAGUGCCACCCAGUGUGUGCCCAGUCCAUCCCCGUUCUGUCCCCGAGUGCCACCCAGCGUGUGCCCAGUCCAUCCCCGUUCUGUCCCCAUUCUGUCCCCAAGUGCCACCCAGCGUGUCCCCGUUCUGUCCCCAAGUGCCACCCAGUGUGUGCCCAGUCCAUCCCCGCUCUGUCCCCGCUCUGUCCCCAAGUGCCACCCAGUGUGUGCCCAGUCCAUCCCCGCUCUGUCCCCGUUCUGUCCCCAAGUGCCACCCAGCGUGUGCCCAGUCCAUCCUCCCUCUGUCCCCAAGUGCCACCCAGCGUGUGCCCAGUCCAUCCCCGCUCUGUCCCCAAGUGCCACCCAGUGUGUGCCCAGUCCAUCCCCGCUCUGUCCCCGCUCUGUCCCCAAGUGCCACCCAGUGUGUGCCCAGUCCAUCCCCGCUCUGUCCCCGUUCUGUCCCCAAGUGCCACCCAGCGUGUGCCCAGUCCAUCCUCCCUCUGUCCCCAAGUGCCACCCAGCGUGUGCCCAGUCCAUCCCCGCUCUGUCCCCAAGUGCCACCCAGCGUGUGCCCAGUCCAUCCCCGCUCUGUCCCCGCUCUGUCCCCAAGUGCCACCCAGCGUGUCCCCGUUCUGUCCCCAAGUGCCACCCAGUGUGUGCCCAGUCCAUCCCCGCUCUGUCCCCGCUCUGUCCCCAAGUGCCACCCAGCGUGUCCCCGCUCUGUCCCCAAGUGCCACCCAGUGUGUGCCCAGUCCAUCCCCGCUCUGUCCCCAUUCUGUCCCCAAGUGCCACCCACCACUCUGUCCCCGUUCUGUCCCCAAGUGCCACCCAGUGUGUGCCCAGUCCAUCCCCGCUCUGUCCCCAAGUGCCACCCAGUGUGUGCCCAGUCCAUCCCCGUUCUGUCCCCAUUCUGUCCCCAAGUGCCACCCAGCGUGUCCCCGCUCUGUCCCCAAGUGCCACCCAGUGUGUGCCAUCCCCGCUCUGUCCCCGCUCUGUCCCCAAGUGCCACCCGGCGUGUGCCCAGUCCAUCCCCCCUCUGUCCCCAAGUGCCACCCAGUGUGUGCCCAGUCCAUCCCCGUUCUGUCCCCGUUCUGUCCCCAAGUGCCACCCGGUGUGUGCCCAGUCCAUCCCCGCUCUGUCCCCAUUCUGUCCCCAAGUGCCACCCAGUGUGUGCCCAGUCCAUCCCCGUUCUGUCCCCGAGUGCCACCCAGUGUGUGCCCAGUCCAUCCCCG
Molecule: long non-coding RNA, 2766 nt
Organism: Corvus moneduloides (New Caledonian crow)
Lineage: Eukaryota; Metazoa; Chordata; Aves; Passeriformes; Corvidae
Source: Ensembl